Molecule: long non-coding RNA, 477 nt
Organism: Thalassophryne amazonica
Lineage: Eukaryota; Metazoa; Chordata; Actinopteri; Batrachoidiformes; Batrachoididae
Exons: 3
Source: RefSeq, a predicted model, not a curated record
UAAAAAGUGAUUGGAGAGGGAAACUUAUAUGCAGGUGCAAAAAUAUAGACUGUUCAUCUACAAUGAUCUCCAAUGCUUUAAAAUGGACAAAAAAAAACACAGAGACGCAUGAAGAAAACGGGAAACACCCAUCAAAAGGAUAGAAGAAUAACCAGAAUGGCAAAGGCCUCACCCAACUGAUCAGCUUCCAGGAUAUCAAAGACGUCUGGAGUUACCUGUAAGUGCUGUGACAGUUAGAAGACGCCUGUGUGAAGCUAAUUUAUUUUGCAAGACUCCCCCGCAAGUCCCUCUGUUAAAUAAAAGACAUGUGCAGAAGAGGUACAAUUUGCCAACGAACACAUCAAUGGUCUAAAGAGAACUGGAGGAAUAUUUUGUGGACGGAGGAGAGUAAAAUUGUUCUCUUUUGGGUCAAGGGCCGCAGACAGUUUGUGAGAUGACCCCCAAACUCUGAAUUCAAGCCACAGUUCACAGUGAAGA